CACGCUUGGCACGCCGCGUGUACGCUCGGCGACACGCGUGCAGCCGGCCACCGAAGCUACAUUGCAGCUUCGGCGGCUUCUACGUGUAGCUGCCAGGUUUGCAGUGUGCUGGCCGAUGAUGCGGCAAGGCGCAGAAACAGGAAACCACAGAUAACGAUGUUAUCACGGCUGUGCGACUCUGGUUUGGGUUCAUUUCUCAUUGUUAGACCUGAGUUCGCGGAAAAAUCUCGGAAAAUGUUUUCCCGAGCACCCGUGAGCACAGGAACGAAUGUAGAGAAGAGCGAUGUGAGCCGAAGCCUCUUUUUUAGGGGCCUUUAAAUACGGCCCUGCCGGUGAGCAGGGUUUAUUCGAAUUCUCGGAGUAUCGUUCCUCCACUGCGAUCGAUCUUAUAAAGUGAGACGGCAGUGGAAUCGGAUGUAAUAACACGAUGUACAAGGGAUAUUUUCCAGCUGACCCUGAAACGACGGAGUACAGGUACGAUUGAAAAUAUGCUGUAACAAUAAAACGAUUGCCUGCCUCAGGCGCCCGGAUUUUUCCGCUGUAAGGAAAAGCUCACGGUAUAUAAUUUUCUUCAUCGUACGUACAUACAUGGUAAAAAUCAGGCUGACGUAACAUUUGUUGUACAAGAAAAUCAUCGAGCGUAACAGUGAUCGCAGUCCCAAAGUCGAGAAUUGGAACAUGAGAAAUGUCCUUCACCGCGGUGGGUGUGUGUAUGACGUAUUAGUCACGCGUGUGGUAACCAUGUGACUGACGAUCGGGCAAAGUGCGAAAUAUCGCUUGACGAACCUGCGGAAUCUAUGCAGGCUAUUGAUCGAAUACCACAAUAAUUUUUUCCCUCGUCAAUAAAGCUGGUUUCAACGAGUCAUUCUACGACAUUGUUUGAACAAAUUCUCCCAGAGAUAUAUUUUUAAUUGUACUGUAUCAAUCGUUAGAAUAAAUUUAUCUGUAUUUCUUUCUCACCGACGAAAGUAUUCAAUAUUAGUCAGACUACUUUUGCCAUCAAAGAAUAUCUUCAAUUUGUGACAGGAAAAUUUGAAGAAAUAAAUAUUUCUAUUCCCCUACACCCAUAUAAUUGAAAAGGUUUGCAACAUUUAGCGAAAUGGUUCUUCGAUAUCACUUGAUGAUGCCA
Molecule: long non-coding RNA, 1129 nt
Filed under: Neodiprion lecontei (redheaded pine sawfly)
Lineage: Eukaryota; Metazoa; Arthropoda; Insecta; Hymenoptera; Diprionidae
Description: uncharacterized LOC124295284, transcript variant X2
Source: RNAcentral